RNAcentral lists this ribosomal RNA (447 nucleotides) under uncultured bacterium. RNAcentral describes it as "bacterial SSU rRNA". It matches the Rfam family "Bacterial small subunit ribosomal RNA", at positions 355 to 825 of the family's 1533-position model. The record is from RNAcentral.
UGGGGAAUAUUGGACAAUGGGCGAAAGCCUGAUCCAGCAAUGCCGCGUGAGUGAUGAAGGCCUUAGGGUUGUAAAGCUCUUUUACCAGGGAUGAUAAUGACAGUACCUGGAGAAUAAGCUCCGGCUAACUCCGUGCCAGCAGCCGCGGUAAUACGGAGGGAGCUAGCGUUGUUCGGAAUUACUGGGCGUAAAGGGCGCGUAGGCGGUGUGUCAAGUCAGUUGUGAAAUCUCCGAGCUUAACUCGGAACGGUCAACUGAUACUGUCACACUAGAGUACAGAAGGGGCAAUCGGAAUUCUUGGUGUAGCGGUGAAAUGCGUAGAUAUCGGAAGGAACAUCAGUUGCGAAGGCGGCUCUCUGGACUCAAACUGACGCUGAGGCACGAAAGCGUGGGUAGCGAACAGGAUUAGAUACCCACGUAGUCCCUGAGCGGGCUGGCAAGGCGCAU